AUCAAUUCCUUCAGUGUUUUACGCCCCUCACUGUGAGCGGACCAAGGUCACCGUGGAGCUCCGUGUGGUGGGGUUCGGCAAGGAGGUGGCGCUGAAGCAGCGGCGGCGGAUGCGCCGGAGACUUCGCCUGGGCGAGGAGGAGCACGCGACCAUCUUGCUCAUGGCGCUCUUCUCCGACGUCGUGUACGCCUGACUUUGCUACCCCUCGUCGCCCGCCGAGAUGCCACGCCCAGAGGUUAGCAGAUGCACAUUGCAGUAUUGAUAAAUCAGCAUGCUAACUGGAGUUUUGUUUUAGAAUCUUUUUUAUGAUGACCUUGCAACAAUAUAUUCAGAUAUAUGAUUUUACCAUAAACACUCCAUCUCGGAUCAGUAUGUGUAAUUCUAUUGUACUAGAAGUGCAGAAGCUAUAGAGAUACAUUUAGUUCAGCUUAACCAUAUUUUGUGUUCUUAACUGUCAAAACAUAUAUGUGUUGUAUUCUUAGUAUUAUUUGUGCACCAUCUUCUAUUGUAUAAGCCAGAAGAAUUUGGAGAGUGGUCAGUCCAUGAUUUCAUGGUUAUACCAAUUUGGAGAGGUUCGUCACCUCCACAACGCCCUCAAUGAUCCACAGUACUUGCCC
RNAcentral lists this long non-coding RNA (617 nucleotides) under Zea mays. RNAcentral describes it as "long non-coding RNA (ZMAY_LNC004844)". The record is from RNAcentral. Lineage: Eukaryota; Viridiplantae; Streptophyta; Magnoliopsida; Poales; Poaceae.